ACUGAAGGAGGGCGAGUGUAGUAGUAGUAGUACAGGUACGAGCCGGGAGAGUGAGAGAGAGAAAACUAUACACGGCAGAUCUUGCUGGAGAUACCUGCGUUACAGGUGGUCUAACCGAGAGCUCUCGUCGUCGGUUUUUGUGGGUUGAUUGCCGCACCGAGUACCAGCGGCAACUGUGUACAUAUAAGCUGCAAUAUUCCCGGCUCUCUCGCCAGUUGUGUUUCCCAAAUCCGUGUGGACGCUGUGAUUCAGCGUCGUCAUCUCUGCGCCCCCAUGUCAAUCCUCUUCGACUUUGAUCGUCUUUUUGUGUGACGUUUUCUUGUUUGGCCAGUCGAAACAUUUUUCAAAAGCGUUUGCUCGAUUUCUUAAUUUCUUUUAAUUUCUUUUUGUUUGUUUUUUUAGAAGUUUCUGUUGACUUUAUUUGGGCAUUUUGAUUUCCUGCUUGGUCAGCCAGUUAAUCAAAUCAAACGCUUCUGAUUAUUCAUUCAGGGUGGAGCUCAUGUUUUCACUUCAAAUUUUUGCAAUUACCGAUCGCUGUGGCUUUAAUCUGUUAACUCUUUCAUCUCCCACUGAGUUUCGAAGAAAACAGCCGCUAUGAUCGACCCCAGUGGAAAAUCAGCGCUCGUGGCACCUACGACGGUCUCGAGAUAAAAACAACAUUUUGAUUUUCAUGGCUCUACUUUUAUAAGAGCUCGUCAGAGAGAAAAAAAAUUACCUCCAUUUCGCCCACCGCAAGUGAAAAUGUCAUUUGAAAAAAAAAAACAGUGGAAUCGACUCCUUUUCAGGAAACCAGAUUUAUUUUCUUAUUUUAUUUUAUAUUGAUGAUUGCUCUGUGGUGGUGGUAAGUAGAUGCAGUCACGGUGAAAUCAUAUUUUUUUUUUUUGAUUUUUUAUUUCUGGCGUUGAGAGCCAACGUUAUUUUUACCUUUACACGUCUGCUUUCAACCGUUUCAUUUUCUCGACGGAUGGACGGGCGGGCGGGUGAAAUCUUGACGGCUACGAGAUUGAUUCCAACGCGCGAGUCAGCCAGUUAUUUUUUUCUUUUUCCCCCCACCAACUUUUUUUAUUUCGUCUUGGAGAUUGUUUUCUUUAUUUCUUCUUGUUUCUCUUCUUCUGGGAGGAGGAGGGAGUUAACGAACUCUCUUUUUGAUCGAACGUGUGUGUGUGUGUGUGGAUGCACGAAAACAGGAAAACCCGUUUUUUUGUGUGUUUUCUCUCUUUUUUAGACAUUUUUUAACAACUAUGUAAAUCUCGAGGAAUCAUCGAAAAAUCCCAAGUCAUCAUCGUAUGUAUAGCCCAGCAUCCAGUCGACACGUAUGCACAUCGUUUGCAGACCAGUCCAAAUGCAUACGUAAUUUAUUUGUAUUCCCCCAACAAACAAACAAACAAAGCCUGCCAGUACCGAUACCCUGUAGCUCCGGGCUUUUGUUUGGUUUCUAAUAAUCAGAAGCUCGUUUCUACAGGUAUCUUACGGGUAACGAAAAAAUGAAAGAUUUUUGGUUUUUCAAUAAUCUAUCGGCUACAUCAUCAUUUUCCGUCAACGGAGCGUCCGUCAUAUUAUUUCUCUUUUUGCCUUUUCGAUGUAUAUAUGCGCGCGCUCCCAUCAUCAUCAUUAUAGUCAUCACCGGUUUGAUUGCUUGGCUUACGUGCCUCUCCCAAACAAAAAUUGUCUAGGGGAAGAAAAAAAAAAGAACCUUGAGGGGGGGAAGACCUUUCUCGUCAUUUGUUAUUGUGAUUCUUUUGAAUGAAUUUCGAAUGGAAUUAUUUUUCUGUGUAUGCCUUGUAUGUAUAUAUAUCCGCAUGUGUGUGUGUGUAUACCUAGUAGUAUAAAUACCUGGACAAGCCACAGAGAAACAGCUGUUUUUAAAAACAAACGCUGUUUGCUGGGUGGUUGUUGUUGUUGUUUCGCUCAUUCUUUUUAUUUAUUUUUUUUCGUGACGUUUCUAGAAAACAAUGGCAAGCCAGUCACUGGUGAUACGAACAUAAUAGGGAUCAUGGAAAAACUCGUGCUGGGUUGCAAUGUCUAUGUGUGUAUACGUUGCUGCUUUUGUAACAUUCGCGAAAAAGAAGAGAUGAAGGCGGAUGUAAAAAUAGAAAAUGCACCUUUCUCUCUCUUUUCUUUUUUGUCUUCUCCAUCUCUCAUCCAUCCAUCACUAUCCAUCAUCCGAGGAGAAGCUAACGGGACCAGAUUUUUAAUGGGCGAAGGGAAAACCAAAAAAAGAAGAAACAUUUUUUGUUCAUUCGUCUUUUUCAUUCGAACGCAAUUGUCUAUUCAAGCCGAACGCAGUCCUUGUGAUAAGAGAGCGCGGCAGAUAUACAAGAAAGACGGAGAAAUCCAAGACCCCAACAAACAAACAACAUCAAACCAAAAUGGAAAGAAAGAAAAAAAGAAAAAAAAAAAGAUAAUGAUAACCCACGGAUGGAGUCUGAACACGCUAGUAAUGGAUUACAGUACCGGUAACCAGUAUUAUUCCCGGCAUGCUAUAAUAUAACAGAGCUAGUGUUCACCACCUUUUUAUUUCCCCUCCUGAAUUCUAUUAUAUUUAGAACGCCCCGAGCUAUUUCGUGACUUUGCCAUGAAACAAAAACAAGAAAAAAUAUCUCGA
RNAcentral lists this long non-coding RNA (2605 nucleotides) under Daphnia pulicaria. Its description in RNAcentral is "uncharacterized LOC124320530". The record is from RNAcentral. Lineage: Eukaryota; Metazoa; Arthropoda; Branchiopoda; Diplostraca; Daphniidae.